GACGAACGCUGGCGGCGUGCUUAACACAUGCAAGUCGAACGGAAAGGCCCUGCUUUUGUGGGGUGCUCGAGUGGCGAACGGGUGAGUAACACGUGAGUAACCUGCCCUUUACUUUGGGAUAACUUCAGGAAACUGGGGCUAAUACCGGAUAGGAGCUCCUGCUGCAUGGUGGGGGUUGGAAAGUUUCGGCGGUUGGGGAUGGACUCGCGGCUUAUCAGCUUGUUGGUGGGGUAGUUGCUUACCAAGGCUUUGACGGGUAGCCGGCCUGAGAGGGUGACCGGCCACAUUGGGACUGAGAGACGGCCCAGACUCCUACGGGAGGCAGCAGGGGGGAAUAUUGCACAAUGGGCGGAAGCCUGAUGCAGCAACGCCGCGUGCGGGAUGACGGCCUUCGGGUUGUAAACCGCUUUCGCCUGUGACGAAGCGUGAGUGACGGUAAUGGGUAAAGAAGCACCGGCUAACUACGUG
This 468-nucleotide ribosomal RNA is filed under the name uncultured bacterium. RNAcentral describes it as "partial 16S ribosomal RNA". It matches the Rfam family "Bacterial small subunit ribosomal RNA", at positions 28 to 507 of the family's 1533-position model. The record is from RNAcentral.